Molecule: long non-coding RNA, 511 nt
Filed under: Lucilia cuprina (Australian sheep blowfly)
Lineage: Eukaryota; Metazoa; Arthropoda; Insecta; Diptera; Calliphoridae
Description: uncharacterized LOC124420907
Source: RNAcentral
GAAAUGUAUGACCGAAACUAACACAUACAAAAUGAUUUUACUAACACACUUGCAACAUUUUUCUUUAAAAAUUGCAAAAAAAAAUAGUUAAUGGAUAAUUCCAUCAAUAAUGACGGUCAAAUGACCGGUAAAAUGACUGUUGAUGUACUCAAUGUGUGAUAAAGGGUUUCAUUUGCAUAUGAAAGAGUGAAACAACUACAUUUGACUGUUACUGUGUUUUCCGUCGCAUAAAUUAAUUAUUUCAGUGAAAGCCAAAGAUCAAGGAGCAAAAAAUUAAAAAAAUUGAGACUAACAUUAUUAAAAAUAAAGAGAUUUAUUAUAAUUUAAAAACGGUGCAGGAAGUGGAGCUGAGAAUAUACACUUCGGAGUUUAAUCUAUUUGUGACAAUUUAUUUCCACAAAUUAAAAGGAGCAUAGGAGGAUUUUACAUUCUGUGAGGUAUGUAAAAUGGUGAAAUGAUAGUUAAUUUAUGUAUAUUAAUAAAAUUAAAAAUAUAUGUCUUAAAAUGUUAA